This 423-nucleotide ribosomal RNA is filed under the name Vreelandella aquamarina. RNAcentral's name for it is "bacterial SSU rRNA". It matches the Rfam family "Bacterial small subunit ribosomal RNA", at positions 63 to 483 of the family's 1533-position model. The record is from RNAcentral. Lineage: Bacteria; Pseudomonadati; Pseudomonadota; Gammaproteobacteria; Oceanospirillales; Halomonadaceae.
CGAGCGGUAACAGAUCCAGCUUGCUGGAUGCUGACGAGCGGCGGACGGGUGAGUAAUGCAUAGGAAUCUGCCCGAUAGUGGGGGAUAACCUGGGGAAACCCAGGCUAAUACCGCAUACGUCCUACGGGAGAAAGGGGGCUUCGGCUCCCGCUAUCGGAUGAGCCUAUGUCGGAUUAGCUAGUUGGUGAGGUAACGGCUCACCAAGGCCACGAUCCGUAGCUGGUCUGAGAGGAUGAUCAGCCACAUCGGGACUGAGACACGGCCCGAACUCCUACGGGAGGCAGCAGUGGGGAAUAUUGGACAAUGGGGGGAACCCUGAUCCAGCCAUGCCGCGUGUGUGAAGAAGGCCCUCGGGUUGUAAAGCACUUUCAGCGAGGAAGAACGCCUAGCGGUUAAUACCCGCUAGGAAAGACAUCACUCGCA